Molecule: transfer RNA, 68 nt
Filed under: chicken gut metagenome
Rfam family: tRNA
About the family: Transfer RNA (tRNA) molecules are approximately 80 nucleotides in length. Their secondary structure includes four short double-helical elements and three loops (D, anti-codon, and T loops). Further hydrogen bonds mediate the characteristic L-shaped molecular structure. tRNAs have two regions of fundamental functional importance: the anti-codon, which is responsible for specific mRNA codon recognition, and the 3' end, to which the tRNAs corresponding amino acid is attached (by aminoacyl-tRNA synthetases). tRNAs cope with the degeneracy of the genetic code in two manners: having more than one tRNA (with a specific anti-codon) for a particular amino acid; and 'wobble' base-pairing, i.e. permitting non-standard base-pairing at the 3rd anti-codon position.
Source: RNAcentral
UGAUGUAGCUCAGUCGGUAGAGCAACUGAUUCGUAAUCAGUAGGUCAAGGGUUCGAUUCCCUUCAUCA